RNAcentral lists this transfer RNA (73 nucleotides) under Acromyrmex echinatior (Panamanian leafcutter ant). RNAcentral's name for it is "tRNA-Tyr". It matches the Rfam family "tRNA". Rfam says of the family: Transfer RNA (tRNA) molecules are approximately 80 nucleotides in length. The record is from RNAcentral. Lineage: Eukaryota; Metazoa; Arthropoda; Insecta; Hymenoptera; Formicidae.
CCUUCGAUAGCUCAGUUGGUAGAGCAGUAGACUGUAGAUCCAUAGGUCGCUGAUUCAAAUCCGGCUCGAAGGA